CGUAGGGGCAAGCGUUGUCCGGAUUUAUUGGGCGUAAAGCGCUCGCAGGUGGUCCGUCGCGUCGUGCGUGAAAGGCCCCGGCUCAACCGGGGAGGGUCGUGCGAUACGGGCGGACUGGAGGCCAGUAGGGGGAUGCGGAAUUCCGGGUGUAGUGGUGGAAUGCGUAGAGAUCCGGAGGAACACCAGCGGCGAAGGCGGCAUCCUGGACUGGUCCUGACACUCAGGAGCGAAAGCGUGGGGAGCGAUCCGGAUU
Molecule: ribosomal RNA, 253 nt
Filed under: uncultured bacterium
Lineage: Bacteria
Description: partial 16S ribosomal RNA
Rfam family: Bacterial small subunit ribosomal RNA
Source: RNAcentral